RNAcentral lists this ribosomal RNA (497 nucleotides) under uncultured bacterium. RNAcentral describes it as "partial 16S ribosomal RNA". It matches the Rfam family "Bacterial small subunit ribosomal RNA", at positions 28 to 507 of the family's 1533-position model. The record is from RNAcentral.
GAUGAACGCUGGCGGCGUGCCUAAUACAUGCAAGUCGAGCGAACGGACGAGAAGCUUGCUUCUCUGAUGUUAGCGGCGGACGGGUGAGUAAUACGUGGAUAACCUACCUAUAAGACUGGGAUAACUUCGGGAAACCGGAGCUAAUACCGGAUAAUAUUUUGAACCGCAUGGUUCAAAAGUGAAAGACGGUCUUGCUGUCACUUAUAGAUGGAUCCGCGCUGCAUUAGCUAGUUGGUAAGGUAACGGCUUACCAAGGCAACGAUGCAUAGCCGACCUGAGAGGGUGAUCGGCCACACUGGAACUGAGACACCGUCCAGACUCCUACGGCAGGCAGCAGUAGGGAAUCUGCCGCAAUGCGCCAAAACCUGACAGAGCAACGCCGCGUGAGAGAUGAGGGUCUUCCGAUCGUAAAACUCUGUUAUUAGGGAAGAACAUAUGUGUAAGUAACUGUGCACAUCUUGACGUUACCUAAUCAGAAAGCCCCGGCUAACUACGUG